AGAGAGCUUGCUCUCGGGUGACGAGCGGCGGACGGGUGAGUAAUGUCUGGGAAACUGCCUGAUGGAGGGGGAUAACUACUGGAAACGGUAGCUAAUACCGCAUAACGUCGCAAGACCAAAGUGGGGGACCUUCGGGCCUCAUGCCAUCAGAUGUGCCCAGAUGGGAUUAGCUAGUAGGUGGGGUAAUGGCUCACCUAGGCGACGAUCCCUAGCUGGUCUGAGAGGAUGACCAGCCACACUGGAACUGAGACACGGUCCAGACUCCUACGGGAGGCAGCAGUGGGGAAUAUUGCACAAUGGGCGCAAGCCUGAUGCAGCCAUGCCGCGUGUAUGAAGAAGGCCUUCGGGUUGUAAAGUACUUUCAGCGAGGAGGAAGGCGUUAAGGUUAAUAACCUUGGUGAUUGACGUUACUCGCAGAAGAAGCACCGGCUAACUCCGUGCCAGCAGCCGCGGUAAUACGGAGGGUGCAAGCGUUAAUCGGAAUUACUGGGCGUAAAGCGCACGCAGGCGGUCUGUCAAGUCGGAUGUGAAAUCCCCGGGCUCAACCUGGGAACUGCAUUCGAAACUGGCAGGCUAGAGUCUUGUAGAGGGGGGUAGAAUUCCAGGUGUAGCGGUGAAAUGCGUAGAGAUCUGGAGGAAUACCGGUGGCGAAGGCGGCCCCCUGGACAAAGACUGACGCUCAGGUGCGAAAGCGUGGGGAGCAAACAGGAUUAGAUACCCUGGUAGUCCACGCCGUAAACGAUGUCGACUUGGAGGUUGUGCCCUUGAGGCGUGGCUUCCGGAGCUAACGCGUUAAGUCGACCGCCUGGGGAGUACGGCCGCAAGGUUAAAACUCAAAUGAAUUGACGGGGGCCCGCACAAGCGGUGGAGCAUGUGGUUUAAUUCGAUGCAACGCGAAGAACCUUACCUACUCUUGACAUCCAGAGAACUUAGCAGAGAUGCUUUGGUGCCUUCGGGAACUCUGAGACAGGUGCUGCAUGGCUGUCGUCAGCUCGUGUUGUGAAAUGUUGGGUUAAGUCCCGCAACGAGCGCAACCCUUAUCCUUUGUUGCCAGCGGUCCGGCCGGGAACUCAAAGGAGACUGCCAGUGAUAAACUGGAGGAAGGUGGGGAUGACGUCAAGUCAUCAUGGCCCUUACGAGUAGGGCUACACACGUGCUACAAUGGCAUAUACAAAGAGAAGCGACCUCGCGAGAGCAAGCGGACCUCAUAAAGUAUGUCGUAGUCCGGAUUGGAGUCUGCAACUCGACUCCAUGAAGUCGGAAUCGCUAGUAAUCGUAGAUCAGAAUGCUACGGUGAAUACGUUCCCGGGCCUUGUACACACCGCCCGUCACACCAUGGGAGUGGGUUGCAAAAGAAGUAGGUAGCUUAACCUUCGGGAGGGCGCUUACCACUUUGUGAUUCAUGACUGGGGUGAAGUCGUAACAAGGUAACCGUAGGGGAACCUGCGGUUGGAUCACCU
This 1460-nucleotide ribosomal RNA is filed under the name Klebsiella aerogenes. RNAcentral describes it as "bacterial SSU rRNA". It matches the Rfam family "Bacterial small subunit ribosomal RNA". Lineage: Bacteria; Pseudomonadati; Pseudomonadota; Gammaproteobacteria; Enterobacterales; Enterobacteriaceae. The record is from RNAcentral.